AGUGAACGCCGGCGGUAGGCCUAACACAUGCAAGUCGAACGGCAGCACAGUAAGAGCUUGCUCUUACGGGUGGCGAGUGGCGGACGGGUGAGGAAUACAUCGGAAUCUACUUUUUCGUGGGGGAUAACGUAGGGAAACUUACGCUAAUACCGCAUACGACCUACGGGUGAAAGCAGGGGAUCUUCGGACCUUGCGCGAUUGACUGAGCCGAUGUCGGAUUAGCUAGUUGGCGGGGUAAAGGCCCACCAAGGCGACGAUCCGUAGCUGGUCUGAGAGGAUGAUCAGCCACACUGGAACUGAGACACGGUCCAGACUCCUACGGGAGGCAGCAGUGGGGAAUAUUGGACAAUGGGCGCAAGCCUGAUCCAGCCAUACCGCGUGGGUGAAGAAGGCCUUCGGGUUGUAAAGCCCUUUUGUUGGGAAAGAAAAGCAGCAGGUUAAUACCCCGCUGUUCUGACGGUACCCAAAGAAUAAGCACCGGCUAACUUCGUG
Molecule: ribosomal RNA, 492 nt
Filed under: uncultured bacterium
Lineage: Bacteria
Description: partial 16S ribosomal RNA
Rfam family: Bacterial small subunit ribosomal RNA
Source: RNAcentral